RNAcentral lists this ribosomal RNA (583 nucleotides) under uncultured bacterium. RNAcentral describes it as "bacterial SSU rRNA". It matches the Rfam family "Bacterial small subunit ribosomal RNA", at positions 149 to 718 of the family's 1533-position model. The record is from RNAcentral.
UCGGGAAACCGAAGCUAAUACCGGAUAGGAUCUUCUCCUUCAUGGGAGAUGAUUGAAAGAUGGUUUCGGCUAUCACUUACAGAUGGGCCCGCGGUGCAUUAGCUAGUUGGUGAGGUAACGGCUCACCAAGGCAACGAUGCAUAGCCGACCUGAGAGGGUGAUCGGCCACACUGGGACUGAGACACGGCCCAGACUCCUACGGGAGGCAGCAGUAGGGAAUCUUCCGCAAUGGACGAAAGUCUGACGGAGCAACGCCGCGUGAGUGAUGAAGGCUUUCGGGUCGUAAAACUCUGUUGUUAGGGAAGAACAAGUACGAGAGUAACUGCUCGUACCUUGACGGUACCUAACCAGAAAGCCACGGCUAACUACGUGCCAGCAGCCGCGGUAAUACGUAGGUGGCAAGCGUUAUCCGGAAUUAUUGGGCGUAAAGCGCGCGCAGGCGGUUUCUUAAGUCUGAUGUGAAAGCCCACGGCUCAACCGUGGAGGGUCAUUGGAAACUGGGGAACUUGAGUGCAGAAGAGAAAAGCGGAAUUCCACGUGUAGCGGUGAAAUGCGUAGAGAUGUGGAGGAACACCAGUGGCGA